This 401-nucleotide ribosomal RNA is filed under the name uncultured bacterium. RNAcentral describes it as "bacterial SSU rRNA". It matches the Rfam family "Bacterial small subunit ribosomal RNA", at positions 355 to 773 of the family's 1533-position model. The record is from RNAcentral.
UGGGGAAUAUUGGACAAUGGGCGAAAGCCUGAUCCAGCAAUGCCGCGUGGGUGAAGAAGGUCUUCGGAUUGUAAAGCCCUUUCGGCGGGGACGAUGAUGACGGUACCCGCAGUAGAAGCCCCGGCUAACUUCGUGCCAGCAGCCGCGGUAAUACGAAGGGGGCUAGCGUUGCUCGGAAUGACUGGGCGUAAAGGGCGCGUAGGCGGCGCACUUAGUCGGGCGUGAAAGUCCUGGGCUCAACCUGGGGACGGCGCUCGAUACGGGUGUGCUUGAGUGUGGAAGAGGGUUGUGGAAUUCCCAGUGUAGAGGUGAAAUUCGUAGAUAUUGGGAAGAACACCGGUGGCGAAGGCGGCAACCUGGUCCAUUACUGACGCUGAGGCGCGAAAGCGUGGGGAGCAAAC